Molecule: ribosomal RNA, 250 nt
Filed under: uncultured bacterium
Lineage: Bacteria
Description: partial 16S ribosomal RNA
Rfam family: Bacterial small subunit ribosomal RNA
Source: RNAcentral
UACGGAGGGCGCAAGCGUUGCUCGGAAUCACUGGGCGUAAAGCGAACGCAGGCGGCGCAACAAGUCGGAUGUGAAAGCCCGGGGCUCAACCCCGGAACUGCAUUCGAAACUGUUGUGCUUGAAUACGGGAGAGGGGAGUAGAAUUCCUGGUGUAGAGGUGAAAUUCGUAGAUAUCAGGAGGAAUACCAGUGGCGAAAGCGGCUCCCUGGCCCGAUAUUGACGCUCAUGUUCGAAAGCGUGGGUAGCAAAC